AGAGUUUGAUCCUGGCUCAGGAUAAACGCUGGCGGCGUGCCUAACACAUGCAAGUCGAACGCCCUACGCAAGUAGGGAGUGGCGGACGGGUGAGGAACACGUGGGUCAUCUACCCUUUGGUGAGGAAUACCACCGGGAAACCGGUGACAAUACCGCAUGCGCUUCGUAAGAAGCAAAGUUUCUCCUCGUGAGAGACGCCAGAGGAUGAGCCCGCGCCCGAUUAGCUAGUUGGUGAGGUAACGGCUCACCAAGGCCACCAUCGGUAGCUGGUCUGAGAGGACGAUCAGCCACACUGGGAUUGAGAACGGCCCAGACUCCUACGGGGGGCAGCAGUGAGGAAUUUUCGUCAAUGGGGGAAACCCUGAACGAGCAACGCCGCGUGCAGGAAGACGGCCUUCGGGUUGUAAACUGCUUUUCUUGGGGAAGAGAACGGACGGUACCUAAGGAAUCAGCCCCGGCUAACUACGUGCCAGCAGCCGCGGUAAUACGUAGGGGGCAAGCGUUGUCCGGAGUUACUGGGCGUAAAGCGCAUGCAGGCGGUCAGCCAAGUUUGAGGUGACAGUCUUCGGCUCAACCGAGGAAGGACCUUGAAAACUGGCGGACUUGAGGGCUUCAGAGGGACAUGGAACUCCAGGUGGAGCGGUGAAAUGCGUAGAUAUCUGGAAGAACACCAAAGGCGAAGGCAGUGUCCUGGGAAGUCUCUGACGCUCAGAUGCGAAAGCCAGGGGAGCGAACGGGAUUAGAUACCCCGGUAGUCCUGGVCGUAAACGAUGACCACUAGGCGUACGAGGUAUCGACCCCUUGUGUGCCGUAUGAAACCCAUUAAGUGGUCCGCCUGGGGAGUACGGUCGCAAGAUUAAAACUCAAAGGAAUUGACGGGGACCCGCACAAGCAGCGGAGCGUGUGGUUUAAUUCGAUGCAACGCG
Molecule: ribosomal RNA, 926 nt
Filed under: uncultured bacterium
Lineage: Bacteria
Description: bacterial SSU rRNA
Rfam family: Bacterial small subunit ribosomal RNA
Source: RNAcentral